CCCUUAGAUGUUCUGGGCCGCACACGCGCUACACUGAAGGAGGCAGCGUGUACUCCUGGAUCGAAAGAUUUGGGUAACCCGCGAAUCUCCUUCGUGCUAGGGAUUGAGGUUUGCAAUUAUCCUUCAUGAACGAGGAAUUCCCAGUAAGUGCAAGUCAUAAGCUUGCGCUGACUACGUCCCUGCCCUUUGUACACACCGCCCGUCGCUACUACCGAUUGAAUGACCCGGUGAAAUCUUCGGAUCGUCGUAUUGCCCGAUUCAUUUCGGGCGAUGUGACGCAAAGUUGAUUAAACCUUGCCAUUUAGAGGAAGGUGAAGUCGUAACA
RNAcentral lists this ribosomal RNA (325 nucleotides) under uncultured eukaryote. Its description in RNAcentral is "partial 18S ribosomal RNA". It matches the Rfam family "Eukaryotic small subunit ribosomal RNA", at positions 1470 to 1796 of the family's 1831-position model. The record is from RNAcentral.